CUCUCUGACACCAUCGGCUGUUGUUCUCGAGAAGCUGAAAGAAAUAGAUCGCCUUUCUAUUAUCUGUUUAACCUUCAACGAUCAUGCUAAUAACUUUACCAGUCAGCAAACAACCCGAGUGCGUUGGAAUGGGCAAAGCGAUGAAUGCCUAUCAAGGAAACCUUGGAAAACGAUUACAACCACCCCUAACAGAUUAUUACGACACUUUCAAGAUUCAAGGAAAAGAUGGAAAUUAACUGCCUAUAAGCUUACCUAAUCAAUCAUAUAGCAGGAAAACUAGAAAUACAAUCGUUUAAUCACAAUGAAAAGUUAACCAUUUGGUAGAAUAACAGAAAAACCUCAAUUUGGCAAUUAAAUAGGAGUGCAGGACACUGUAGUUGUUGGGACCCAGACUAAAUUGAGUACCCUAACUAUACGUGGCAGUGACUUGGUCAAGUCUCUUGACAGCAAAAUAGUGUCUGCUUCAAAGAGUGCUUGCUGAGGCAUCCUGUGACAGCUAAACCAGUCUUCUGAGGGUUAAACCUGGUUUUCUGCUGCUUAUCUGUGUAUUGUAGAAUGCUUAUAGUUAAAAGAAAGAGUGUAAAAGGAAGCUGUUGUGGUUAUGCAUUUCCUGUAUUUUGUUAAUGCACUUUGCCAUAGCUUAAAGCCAGCUUCAUUAGCGAUGGCGCAGCUAAAAUUAAUCAUAUAAGGAAAACGCAAAGGAUUGUACUGCUAUUGGUCAGUCAUGUAAAGAAAGUUUGUAGUAUAAAACUAUAACUGGCUGCAAGCCAACAGCUAGCUCAAAAAAAAAAAAAAAAAAAUCUAUAAAUUUGCUGGCGCAUCCGGAAAUCGGCUGAAGGAAAACGCAACAUGGUAAAAGAAGCUAUCACUGUGAAAGAGAAGCAGCAGACCUGGCAUUCGGUGGGGCAGUAGGUCCUGAGAAGCCUGAAGACUAAAUACCAGGGUCCUUCCCAGUACCCCUUUGGACAGCGUAGAUUGGGGACACCUGACUUCGCUGGAUUUCGAGAGGCUUGUCAUAUACAAGGCAUAAAAGGGGACUGCCGAUAAGUUGCCGACUCGGAGAUUUACUGUCUGUCUUUGUUGUGUUGUUAAGCUUUGCAUAAUUACAUGUUUGUUAAAAUAACAAACCUUUCUUACCUUUUCACCCCGACCACUCUCUCAAUCCCGAACCAACCCACUGCAGGCAGCUGAGACAAUUAUAAGCCAUUCAUCCUAUCAUUUUAUGUUUGGGGUAAAAAUGACAGAAAGUAAAAUGAUUAGAGAGUUAACUUUAAACUGAAGGCUGCCAAUAACCUCCCCAGAAAAAGGGGGAACUUUUUGUUUUACACUUCCUUAUAGGAAAGCUGAUGAACUGCAAAGCCUUGUUAUCACCAAUAAAAUCAUCAGUGCCUUCUUCACUCAAGCAGUGGCUCUGAUACUAUGAUGAA
Molecule: long non-coding RNA, 1427 nt
Organism: Alligator mississippiensis (American alligator)
Lineage: Eukaryota; Metazoa; Chordata; Crocodylia; Alligatoridae
Exons: 2
Source: RefSeq, a predicted model, not a curated record